GGCCAUGUGGCGAAGAUAGCUAACGCGGCGGUCUGCAAAACCGCUACACGUGGGUGCAAAUCCCACCAUGGCCU
This 74-nucleotide transfer RNA is filed under the name bacterium. RNAcentral's name for it is "tRNA-Cys". It matches the Rfam family "tRNA". Rfam says of the family: Transfer RNA (tRNA) molecules are approximately 80 nucleotides in length. Their secondary structure includes four short double-helical elements and three loops (D, anti-codon, and T loops). The record is from RNAcentral.